This 371-nucleotide ribosomal RNA is filed under the name uncultured eukaryote. Its description in RNAcentral is "bacterial SSU rRNA". It matches the Rfam family "Eukaryotic small subunit ribosomal RNA", at positions 592 to 970 of the family's 1831-position model. The record is from RNAcentral.
CAAUAGCGUAUAUUAAAGUUGUUGCGGUUAAAAAGCUCGUAGUUGGAUUUCUGCUGAGGACGACCGGUCCGCCCUCCGGGUGAGCAUCUGGUUCGGCCUUGGCAUCUUCUUGGUGAACGUAUCUGCACUUGACUGUGUGGUGCGGUACCCAGGACUUUUACUUUGAAAAAAUUAGAGUGUUUCAGGCAGGCAAUGGCUCGAAUACAUUAGCAUGGAAUAAUGGAAUAGGACUUUUGUCCAUUUGGUUGGUUAUUGGACAUGAGUAAUGAUUAACAGGGACAGUUGGGGGCAUUAGUAUUUAAUUGUCAGAGGUGAAAUUCUUGGAUUUAUUAAAGACUAACUUAUGCGAAAGCAUUUGCCAAGGAUGUUUU